This is a long non-coding RNA of Megalobrama amblycephala (Wuchang bream), 2484 nucleotides long. RefSeq lists it as uncharacterized. NCBI's taxonomy places the organism in Eukaryota, Metazoa, Chordata, Actinopteri, Cypriniformes, Xenocyprididae. The record is from RefSeq and is a predicted model, not a curated record. The transcript has 4 exons.
UACAACUAAAUUUAAAAUGAAAACUGAAAAUAUAAAAAUAAAAGCUAAUUCAAAUGAUUAAAUAUAAUAGUAUAUCAAUUAUACUAAUAUUGCACUGAUAUGAAACUAACACAAAUACAAAUGUUUCCCCUUUUUUAAAUUACUGACAGUUCUAUUUAUUAUCAGCCUAAAGAAUGAACCGCUAGCAGCAAUGCAUUAUAUACAGAGCUUCUCAGUGCAUCUCAUCUCUUUCCGACAGACAACAUUUGGAUAAUAAUGUUUAAAUCUGACAUAAUUAUUUCGUCUUAGGCACAGACCUCUAGUCACGGCUAUAAGAAGAUGCAGCGAUGAGCUAAUUUACAGAAUUGUCAGAGGGCCUAUCAUGGCUUCUUAUUAGGCUGCAUUGCAAAUCCUAAGCUAAAUGAUCUGUGUCCGGCCUUCCAAGGGAGAAAACAGCAUUCUGCAGCACAACUUCCGCCAGCGCAAAUGAGAUGCAAGAUUUGAGGAGAAAUCCUCUCCCCCAUACAGAUAUAAAAGCAAGGACGUGCACACAGCCGCCUCUCGAUCCAAACAUUGACUCAUCAACACACGCCACCUGUGAAAACACCAAGCUAUUUUCACAAGAAUAAAGAGAUGCAGCAACUUGCACGUUUAACUGUAAUGUGCCACACUUAAUUCCAGCACAGUUGUGUGCGUCCUAAACCUACAAUUUAUCACAUAAAUGCCAGAUAAACCUAAUCGCUAUGCUAACAUUUGCAGCUCCAAUUGUGCCAAACACAGAAGCGUUAAUUAAUCUAAUGUUCUUGCGGCAGACGCACACAGUCGCACAUGCAGUCACGCUGUGGGAGUGAUUUGUAAGGCACCAUGUGGGGCUCUAAUCUGCGGGUUGCAGCGGGAUCUUUACAGCCUGCUCACGGGCCCGAGUGGCAGAAAUUAGGCCCAAAUUCAAUCAGUCGUCCAGGCAGUCCCGGGCUUUUCCUGCAGGCCUCGAGGCGCCUUGGGACGUGAGCUCCAUCUGCACUAGGGCUAAGGAAAGCUUGCGCUCGUAGCGCUGGGGAGUUAUGAGUAUUGCAGGCCGCCAUCUUCCGCACAUUAGUGUCACGGCUAAACUAAAUAAGGACUCGGGUUUGACUGUUUAGCUGAGGGGUAAUUUAAUUUGGGGAACAACGUGGUGUUGUAAAUCACAAGGAUGAGACGGUGCACUGCAUCUGGAAAAGUGCAUUUAUCUCAAGGCAAUACCAGAACAUUGAGUUAAAAAGAAAUCACACACUGAGAUUAUAUUUCUGCAGACGGCGUCCCGAUCUCUGUCGUAUUCGGAAGCCGGAGCCCAAAGAAAUAAUGCCGAGGCAAACAGCUCCUAUUUUUCGAGUAAGUUAACUAUCAUACGGUCAUUGUUGAGGGAUUUUUGCAGCGCUGAAAGCACUGUACUGCCCGAUUGCAUCGACUAAUCCAGCAACCUAUUUGCCGAGGAAUAUACAGAGCAAGACACUGGAGAACUUAAACGCGUCUGACUCGGUCGUCUGUGAAAUUGAUAAGCUACGAGAGAUCGACCGAAAUGUGCCGAGCCACAAACAUGCAUAAAACACCGUGGAACACAGAAGAGCAUAGCAGGAGCCAUAUGCACCGUACUCAGCUGAAGGAUUGUGGGCGAUGUGAUAGGGUGCAUAGGUUGUCCCUCGAGGCCAAACUGACAUGAUUGGAGCGUCCCAUUAAAACCAGAAUGAAAAGUCCUCACAAUGGGAGAAACUCUUGGGAGCAAAAUCGGCCCUGGAGACCGCAUGAAUCCCAGGGUUUUCAUCAGCAGAUGCUGAAUGCCACGUACAGUUGAGUUCAAAAUGAAUCUGUCUGCCCAAUUGCUGUUCCUGGUAAUACACAAUAAACAAUAUCAAAAUGCAUUUUUGCAGAACAGGACGGGCAAGAAUUGAUCACACUCUUCCAUUACUGGAGCAAACAGCGGGCAAGAGGGAGAGGAGGAGAGAUGAAAGAACAUCAAUGUGAAGAAAAUGUGCAAAGCCACAGAGAAGCACUGCCCGGCAUAAUGACUCAGCUACCGCGCAGGGACCAGCAACUUUCUAAAGCAUCUCAGACAUUAGGCAGAGAGACGGGUUGCUCCUUGCCCAGUACUCUGGCUGUGGGCGCUGCCUGAUGCAAUUAAAACGAGCCCACAGCACCCGUGCGCAGACGCAGUGAGGUGCCUCGUACAACUGAAGUAUCACAUCAGUGUUGUAAGGCCGACCGGGCCCUAAUCUACACUUUUUCAACAGCCGGCACACCAUGCAUAAUUAACACACAUUACUAAUUCAAACCUAAAGUGGUUCCCAUGUAAUCUACUGCAGUUCACUUUAAUUAAACACAUGUACUCUUGAACAAUCUGCAACUUUGUUAUGCGUAUGAAUGAAUAAAGAACUGCGGUGGACUUGUGGUCAUGUGCAGCCAAGGACACAUAAACUUGGGGUCAUUUCAGGCAAAUAAUAUUUUGAGAUAUAGUGUACCCAAAAUGCUUUU